RNAcentral lists this ribosomal RNA (62 nucleotides) under Gottfriedia luciferensis. RNAcentral describes it as "Bacillus luciferensis partial 16S ribosomal RNA". It matches the Rfam family "Bacterial small subunit ribosomal RNA", at positions 1 to 60 of the family's 1533-position model. RNAcentral also lists the same sequence under 2 other names. Lineage: Bacteria; Bacillati; Bacillota; Bacilli; Caryophanales; Bacillaceae. The record is from RNAcentral.
CUUUUAUGGAGAGUUUGAUCCUGGCUCAGGACGAACGCUGGCGGCGUGCCUAAUACAUGCAA